GAGCAUGGGNGAACCUGAAUGCAGCAAUGCCGCGUGAGGUGAUGACGGCCUUCGGGUUGUAAAGCUCUGUUCUUCGGGGACGAUAAUGACGGUACCCGAGCGUAGGAAGCCACGGCUAACUACGCUGCCAUGCAGCCGCGGUAAUACGAUACGA
This 154-nucleotide ribosomal RNA is filed under the name uncultured Clostridium sp. RNAcentral describes it as "partial 16S ribosomal RNA". It matches the Rfam family "Bacterial small subunit ribosomal RNA", at positions 366 to 532 of the family's 1533-position model. The record is from RNAcentral. Lineage: Bacteria; Bacillati; Bacillota; Clostridia; Eubacteriales; Clostridiaceae.